ACUGAACGCUGGCGGCAUGCCUUACACAUGCAAGUCGAACGGCAGCACGGGAGCAAUCCUGGUGGCGAGUGGCGAACGGGUGAGUAAAGUAUCGGAACGUGCCCAGCCGUGGGGGAUAACGUAGCGAAAGUUACGCUAAUACCGCAUACGAUCCAUGGAUGAACGCGGGGGAUCGCAAGACCUCGCGCGCUUGGAGCGGCCGAUAUCAGAUUAGGUAGUUGGUGGGGUAAAGGCUCACCAAGCCGACGAUCUGUAGCUGGUCUGAGAGGACGACCAGCCAUACUGGGACUGAGACACGGCCCAGACUCCUACGGGAGGCAGCAGUGGGGAAUUUUGGACAAUGGGCGAAAGCCUGAUCCAGCCAUGCCGCGUGCAGGAUGAAGGCCUUCGGGUUGUAAACUGCUUUUGUACGGAACGAAAAGGUUUGGGCUAAUAAGCUGAGCUCAUGACGGUACCGUAAGAAUAAGCACCGGCUAACUACGUGCCAGCCGCCGCGGUAA
This 500-nucleotide ribosomal RNA is filed under the name uncultured bacterium. Its description in RNAcentral is "partial 16S ribosomal RNA". It matches the Rfam family "Bacterial small subunit ribosomal RNA", at positions 30 to 523 of the family's 1533-position model. The record is from RNAcentral.